Molecule: unclassified non-coding RNA, 2039 nt
Filed under: uncultured fungus
Lineage: Eukaryota; Fungi
Description: sequence contains 18S rRNA gene, ITS1, 5.8S rRNA gene, ITS2, 28S rRNA gene
Rfam family: Eukaryotic large subunit ribosomal RNA (bases 919-2039)
Source: RNAcentral
GGAAGGAUCAUUACAACGUAUCCAACGUUUCAACCAACCCUGUGAACAUGUUCCCUACCUUGAGGCAGCAAUGCUGAGAGGCAUGUCGCUUUCGACGAUCGACUGCGUGUCGAGCGGAGAGAGCUGUGCGCAUUCCUUCGGGGCUGUGCACUUUUUACCAUUCACUACUGUCACCUCUUGAGUGCACUUUUCGAAGUGUUAACAAUGUUGUCAUUCGAUUGACGUUCGUGAUUGAAUUCGUUCGAUCCGUCGUCUCACGUUUGUUUAUUCAACGUGCAAAACAACUCUUUGCGAUGGAUGUCUUGGCUCUCGCACCGAUGAAGAACGCAGCGAAAUGCGAUACGUAAUGCGAAUUGCAGAAUUCCGUGAAUCAUCAAAUCUUUGAACGCAAAUGGCGCUCUUGGGUACACCUAGGAGCACGCUUCUCUCAGUAUCGGUUUCAACCUCUCUCAGCAGCGUUGUGGUAAUGAUAUAUUCACAAUGUGAUGGCUGGUGUAUGAGAGUCGGAGUGCCUCGCCACUUCGUCUCUUGAAAUGAAUCGAGUGAUAUCCGCAUGUGCACGUACGAGUCUCUCGCGACGGCUAUUUUGAAUAGCAGUCACUGACCGACGACUUGACACGUAUGCCACGAGCUUAGCGAUGCUGUUUAUGCAAUGUGAACAGCGACGUGUGAGGCUCGAUCGAACACACUCUCUAUGACGUGAAGAAUGACCCAAGUGGUCUCUCUUUCUCGACGUCGUGGGGGAGUGGCGUUAGGGAUCGAACACUUGCACGGCAGCGGUGAGGGCUUCAGGUCGGCAGUUGGGGUAUAGAUGGAGCGUAGCAAUAUGUUAGUGAUUCUCACGUUGGUAAUCCAUGAUGAGUACUGCGAUCAUCGUUGUCUAACAGCCUCGAUGUGUGUGAGUGACUCUCUCUCUUUCGAUCUGAGAUGAAGCGAGACAACCCCCUGAAUUUAAGCAUAUUAAUAAGGGGAGGAAAAUAAAAUAAAAAUGAUUCCCCUAGUAACGGCGAGUGAAGCGGGAAGAGCUCAAUUUGAAAAUCGACUACCCAAACGGGUCGUCGAAUUGUAGCCUAUAGACGUACUAUCAGCUGUAACCUGGGUAUAAGUUCUUUGGAAUGAGGCACGUAACAGGGUGAGAGUCCCGUCUACGACCCAAAGAUUGCAGCGUACGAUGUAUGUUCUUCGAGUCGAGUUGUUUGGGAUUGCAGCUCUAAAUGGGUGGUAAGUUUCACCUAAAGCUAAAUAAUGGCGAGAGACCGAUAGCGAACAAGUACCGUGAGGGAAAGAUGAAAAGAACUUUGAAAAAGGAGUGAAAAGUACCUGAAAUCGCAAAGAGGGAAGCGCUGGAAACUAGUGUGACUAUAUGCUUUACGCAGUUAGCCAUUUGACGCUGAUGUAUGCAAUUGGUAACUUUGCAUGUGUGAGUGAAGGGUUGGUUGUCUGUUCUGAGUAUACGGUCUGUCCAGAUCCAUUCGAACGUGUCGGAGAAGGCAGAGGGAAAGGUGAGAGAGUCCGCUCUCUGUUAUAGUCCCUUUGCUCUACGUCGCUUUGGAUGGAGGAAGUAAUGGUGCGCCGCUUGCGGCUUGGUCGUUCGUUCCUGGAAUCAGUCAUUGGUAGUGAGAGCAAUGCUCUGAUUGCUAUGACUGCGUUCUACUGAGCGGAUGGACUCGACGUGCCAUCACGAUCUGGUACGAAAUGGUUUUCAUCGACCCGUCUUGAAACACGGACCAAGGAGUCUAACAUCUAUGCAAGUAUUUGGGUGCCAAACCCUGAUGCGUAAUGAAAGUGAAGACAGCUUCGGCUGUUGAGGUAGGAAGCCUUCGGCAACGGGGGUGGCACUAUCGACCGAUCAUCACUUGUGAAAGAUUUGAGUCAGAGCAUAUCUGUUGGGACCCGAAAGAUGGUGAUCUAUGCCUGAACAGGGUGAAGCCAGGGGAAACUCUGGUGGAGGCUCGUAGCGAUACUGACGUGCAAAUCGUUCGUCUGAUUUGGGUAUAGGGGCGAAAGACUAAUCGAACCAUCUAGUAGCUGGUUCCCUC